GUGCGAACUGAAACACAGGAGCCUCCAUCUGAACAUCAGGAAAAGGUUUUUUACUGUAAGAAUGACCCAGUGUUGGAAUAGGUUGUUCAGAAAGGUCAUGGAGUCUCCAUCCAUGGAUGGAGAAGCAGUUUGGACACAGUCCAGGACAGAGUUCUAUAGUUGGCCCUGUUUGAGUAGGGUAGCUGGACUAGACUUUCAGAGGUCACUUCCAACCUCAACCGUUCCGAUUUCCAUUUCUAACAUGGGCAGUUGUUAAAUUAAAGAACAGAUUUACUCCAAUGAUAUCAUGGACCUAGUACCGCAAAGUCACUUUGUACCACAGAAAUGCAAGGGAUAUUGUUCAUUUGCCCAGCAUACUGGGGUGGCAUCAAGUCUCUUCAGAGUAUUUGUCAGUCUAGUUCUUGGAAAUUGUCAGAGGCAAGAGAUCUCACACCAUCCUUGGGUAUCUUGUUCCUUUCUUUUACUGUUCUAUUAAAAAUUUUCCUAGUCUAAAUAAGCUCAGCUGCAAGUUCAAACUUUCCUGUUCCAUACAGAACAUCACUGAUUGCUGUCCUCUUCAUAAAGCACUUGGGUGUAUUGAACACGGAGACUCUUGUGAUUGGGCUGUGUUCUCAGAUGGCAGCAUUUUUGAGACAAACGUCCAAGCAGCCUUGUUUUGUUUUGUUCUGUAUGAGCCGCGUUUGCUAAAACUAUUGUCCUUGCAGUUCUCUCUUCAGUGCUUUCUGUUUUUUUGUCAGCAGUUUUAAACACAGUGCUCCAAACUGAGUAUGGGAUUCCAGUUGUGAUUUGUUAUUAGCACUGAAGAACUGUAAUUGCUUUCCAGAGACUUUACUGAUAACCCUCCUGGGAGGAUAACACUCCUGCUGGAAAUCAGACCUGCUUCUUUGGGCAACAGUCUAGUAUUGGCUACAUGGAUUUUUUAAUCCAUUGUGAGCACCCCGUUCUCUCUGCUCUACUGCUUUCUUGAUUUUAUCUUCUUUGUAUGGUAUCUCAUGUCUAAUUUAUUUUUUUUUUAAAUGUUGAAACCUCUUUUGGUUGAUGCUUUCUUUACUAGUGCUGCUUUGAUUUUCUGGGUUUAAUCUUUGAAAAAGAAAUCUUGGUACAGAAUUGUUUAUUUUGGACACUUUUACCUAAGUUAUUUGACCUGUGUCUUGAUAACAUCUAUAAAUUUUAAAAGCCAAUGUUUGUCAUUCAAGCCAACAGUUAAAAUUGUUGGAAAGAAUAACAUCCAGGAAAUAAAAUGUCCAUCUCCUGGUUAUUUAUCUGCUCUCUUGUGAGUACAGUUGAUCAAGGAUAUGAGUCCCCACAUAAUUGUACUUUAGAUUACAUUUCUCUAACUUGUUUAGAAGUGUAUUUAGGAAAAAUUAUGUUUUGAGAACACAUUAAAAUAGGCUGGUACUUCAUCUGUAGUUUUCCUUUCAAUCUUUUGGUUAAUUGCUCUGCUAGAAUAGAAUGGGGAAGAUUUGCCAUUACAUAAUGUGUGUCUCAGUCCUCUUCUCAGAAAUAUAUUCUGUACUUUGACUCUUAAGUGGGAGACCUGGAUCCCUGUGGAAGCCUUGAAAGUAAUAUGUCCUGUGAAAAUACUUGAAAUGCCCUUGUCCAAGGGAAAGGGAAAAACCAACAAAAGUAGCUCAACAUCUCAUAUGAACUUCUCCUGUGAAGAGAAGCCAAGUAUUUUACAUUGAAGCCUGAAAUACUGAGAAUUUGCAAAAACAAUUUGUUCUAACUGUAGAAAAAGAGCAGUCCUCUCCUAUUCUGGUAGAGGCCACAAGCUGGAGAAAGUAACACGAGAGUAUUUGGCUUUUUUUUUAAGUAGUAGGAUGGAAGAAAUAGUAUUUAAAUAAGGUCCUAGCUUGUAAAUGCAUUUGACUUCAUGCUAUUUGCUAUACCAUUUUCCAGAGAAAUCAACCACCCUCUAAGGUAUACUGAGAAAAAAUACAUAAAUUAAAAAAAACCAAAACUUUCUCCAGUACCUUUGUUCUAAGUGAUGUGGUACCUGAAUUGUGUAUCAGAAGGUUUUUUUUCUUUGGUUUUUUUAAGUGUGAAUUUGCUUGCUAGUAAUUAGUAGAGAUAGAAUGCAAUACUGUGGAAGAGCUUACUUAAACUGCUUUCCUGGAGUGGACCGCUUUGAAUUUUGGGAGUUUUUCCCUUUGUAUUAUCUCACUGAGGCACUCCUGUGUUGUUAUGAGGAUUUAUUUUGGAUAUUGCUCUUUUCCACUUCAGUGGUAUCUUUUCUCAUAUAAUGAUUGGUUAUGAAAGCAGCUUUGCUUUUCUGGUAUUAUAUGUUGACAAAAGAAAAUAAAUACUUGACUUUUCCAUUUUAAAAGUAGAAGUUUUGGAAAGGAAAAAAGGCAUAUGUAAAAUUGGUUGGCGUCAGCAGUGCAAAGCUUCUUUCUCACUGCAGCCUGCUUGACAGUGGGGCUGUGCAGGUUCAGGGUCCCAGACCAAUCUGCACCUCUGUGAGGAGAAGCCAGCUGGCAUUUUUGGGGCUUGUGUUGCUGAGGUGUAGUUAUACCUAAAUAUAGCAUGUAGAUCCCUCCAUUUGUAAGAGAGCAGAAAGAUUCCUGCCUUGGCUCCCUCAGGACGGAAGUACAGACACAGUAAAACAGAUGCUUCAUGGUGUGUCUGCAAAUCGAGAUACCUUGUGAGUUUUUCAUUGUUAGUUUGAAAGUUACUAGUUAGUUAGUUCAUUGUUCAUUGUUAGUUAGUUCAUUGUCAGUUAUUCCAGCCUUCUGCAGAAAAGGCAGUUUCUUCUUUCCACCAGAAAAUGCCAUCUACCACAGAGAUCUCUGAGCAUUGUUCUAUUGACUGCUGGUCAGUGCAGUAUUUUUAUCAGCCUUUCUACUGUUGUCAGAAAGGAUCAGGAAUUAAGAGUGCUCCCCCCUCCCUUAAGGGUGGAGAGAUACUGCGGUCUGUGUUCUCCUCUGUAUUUUGUUGCAACAUACUGACUGUUGCUUGUGUACUUUUCAAUACAGAAGUACUUUUAAAAUGUUGGAAAUACCUUCAGAUGCCUCCUUCUGUCUAUGACUAUAGGUAUUAAUUCUGAUUUUUUCACAGAAAAAUCUUGAAGUAUCUUAAUGUUGAGAGGUGUUUUCCUUCCCUCUUUCAGUUCAGUUUCUUUUCUUCGGUGUCAUGUUACAUUUAGAGGCCAUAAUGAAUUGUCAUAAGGUAAUACUUUGUAAGCAACUGAACUGUAAAAGCCUGAAAUUAUAAAACCAUUUGGAAUUCUCUAGUGGAAGAAAAAAUGAUGUGGUAUAUAAAGACAGAAAGAGUCUGUCCAAAGCUUGUGUCUUCAUAGGAACUUGAACAGAAAAAUGCUUAGAACUGGAGGAUAUUCUUGUUGUUGAGACCUUUCUAGAUGCUUUUAGUUGGUUGUCAUGUGGGUUGUUCCAAGCUCUUACUCAAAGCAGAGUCAAAACUGAAUUUAGACUUUUUAUCUGAAUUCAGACUGAGGGUAUCAUCUUGUCUCGAAAACAGUGAGGAACAUGCUACAACUUCUCUGGGCAACCCUAAGGGAAAAGGUUUUUAGGACAUCUAAUUGGAACCUUUUCUGUGUCAAUUUGUGUCCUUUUCUCUUCCCAUGCAUCUCAGUGGAGAUCCUGGCUCUGUCUUUGCAGUUACUUCUGCUUAGCUCUCAGACUGCUCUUCUGUUUUCCAAGCCUUUUUUCCUCUGGGCCAUACAAUCCCAGCUCCUUCAGCCAUUCUUCAUGGGGAAGGUACUGCCCUUUGCACAACCCCCAUCCAGUUAGCAAUGUCUUUCUUGAAACUUGUCCUUUGUCUUGUAACUUGUAACUUUGGGCAGAUGAUGUUGGAGGUUUCUAGAAGUUGUAGCUGAUGAAUUUGUAGCAGAUGGGGCUAAUGCUCUGUUUGCCCUAUUAUACAACAAAGAUGAAAGAGUCUGGUGGAUCUUGAAUGAUCAUGAGAUGACUGAGUUCAGGAUUUGGAGAAAAUUGGGCAGUGAAAUUAGGCCUGGGGACUGGACUGUUGCUUAUCUGAGAACUUGUUAAAUUAGAAUCCCUGGGGGAGGUGUUUGAUAAAGGACUUAUAAAAGGAAAUUUGAAAAUCUGAGCUGUUGGACAGCUCAAUAAAACACCAUCUCAUUUUCCAGGUAUGCCAGGACUUUAAACUGAAAAGCUCACUUGACUGGAUAAGAGACUUCUUUAAAAACAAAACCAAAAUCUUUAUGAAAAAGAACGUAUAAGAAGUGGAAACAUGGACCAGCAACAAGAGUAUGAAAGCAUUACUCAGGUAUUUAAGGAUGAAAAAUGAAAGGCCAAAGCCCAGCUGAGUUAGGGCUAAUGAAGAUUAAUAGGAAGGGUUUCUACAUGUUUAGUAGUAGAUAAGGGAAAAAUUGUAGGAAAAGGCUAUUCAUAUGCUCACCUGCAAAAAAGCCUGCAGCAAAACUCUGAAAGUAAUAGGUUAGUCAGCCUUAUUUCCAUCCCUGGAAUGAUCAUGGCUUGUGUCCACAUUGGUUAAGUUUGUAAAUACGUGGUCAAGAAUUUAUUACUUAAUAGUGUGCAUUUAACAAGAGUGUGCUUACUCAAUCUCGUUGCCUUCUGUGGCAAAAUGGCUCUCUGUAUGAAUGACGGAAGUGUCACCUUCUGAGGUUGCUAAGGGUUUGAAUAAUGCCACCAAGUGCAUUCACAUUUAGAGGUCUAAGGAAGUAUGGGCUGGAUGAACAAGCUGCUUAAUGGGUUGAAAAUCAGCAGGACUAUUAUCAACAGCUCAGCGUCCAGCUGGCAGCUGACUGAGUGCAGUAUGCCAAGGGUUGGUUCUGGGGUCCAUAUUUUUCAAUAUGUAGUGAUUUGGAUGAUGACAUAUAUUUGCAAAUUACACUGAAUUAGUGGGAGUGGCUGACAUGACAUAUGGCAAAACAUAAAUCCAGAGGGAUCCUGAGAGACUUAAGGCUCGGGCCAUCAAAAGCUUCCUGAAGUAGAACACGAAGUGCAAAGUGUUGCACCUGAUGCUUAACAAUACCAUGAAUCAGUACAGCUGGGAACUGAUGGGCUAAGUGGCCACUCUGCUCAAAAGAACCUGGGAUUAUGGUUGAAAGCAAGUUGAAUAUUAACCAGUAGUGUGCCAUCAUUGUCAAUAAAUCUGGUGCUGUCCUACAUUAGGAGCAUAGCCAGCAGAUUAUGGGAAAUCGUUGCUCGGUCCUUGGCACUGUGCAUCCUCUACUAAGGACGUUCCUUUUGGGCUCACUAGAAAAGUAAAUGUCAGGAAACUGCAGAUGUUUCAGUGGAUGGUUGUCAGGGUGGUCUGCAUGGACCUGCAAGGGGAGGCUGAGGGGAGUGAGCCUUGUCUGGUGUAGAGUGAGCUAACAGUCGGCAACUAUUUGAAGGACAUUUAUAAAGAUGAUGGAGCCAAGCUUGUCUUAGUAGUAACAGAUGGUGUAACAAGGCCAAAGACCUGUUUUUAGCUUGAGAGGUUUACAGUGAACAUUAAGAAAACUUAUUCCGGUGGGAAGGUAGUGUAGCACUAGCGCAGGUUAUCCAGAGAAGCCAUAAAGCCUCCUCAUAAAAGUUUUCAGGAGCUGGGUGGAUGGAUAUCCAUCCAUCUAUCCUUAUUGUGUUUAAAUAUGCAAGGUAAGGGAUAUAUUGAAGCUUCCUGCCCUUUGAUAGUUCUACAUUAUCUCAUUUUGUUUUUCUUUUAUUUUUCUCGGGGGUGUGUAUGUAUAGAUGUGAAAUCUCUCUAUAUCCAGGGAGAUGAUUUAACAUUCCUUAGCAGCAAGUCUUGCAGUCAAUGAACGUACCUCCAGUGUUUAGGGAAACAGAUGGGAAAAGAAAGAACCGCAGUUGUGUCCCUUUAAACAAGAAUGCUUUGUUCAGCAUUGGCAGCAGUAGUCUCUUGGGCAUUGUCCUACGGAAACAUGGUAAUUUUUUAGACUUCAAGAUCGUAGUCUGGCUUUUCUUCCUAUCGAGGGAGUGAAAGUCUAGGCAGAGUUCUAGGCAAGUUUUGUUGGUUUUUAUUUUUAUCUUUGCCAUAAUGAUGAGACAUUCUGUUCUAGUAAUGAAAUUCUAAAAGAACUUUUGGGGAACCCUUAGUAUCCUUGUAGGCUUUGUUGCUUCCAAUCAGCCUCUCAACUGAAAUGGGGCUGAGAAAGUGGGAUCUUAUGUGUGCUUGGGUAUCUUCACAUGUACAUCCGUGCACACAUUUGACUGCUUUGGAGAGCUGGGAUUUUCUCGGAAGCAGUUUGCUCUUGAGUUCCUUGUACUUCACUAAAUCAACAUCUCUUCCACAAGGGCUCUCUCUGUCACUGAUGGAUGGCAAUUCAAGUUCAGCAUAGCAGGAAGCAAGAAACUGGAAAGCACUAGAGAGCUUGAGAAUUCUUAGAUAUGUUUAGCAAUUCCUGUCUGUGGCUUCAAGAGUUAGUAAAAACUAGGUGUAUUCACACCAAAAGGCUGAGUUUACUCUGUGAGACUAAACAAUGACUUGCUGCAGCAACAUAGUCAGUGCUUAAUAUGUUUCGUGUGAAAUAAUCCUCCAUUCUCACUAGGACAACACUGAUUAUCCCCCUACCUUCAUCAUACUUGCUGCUUAAUUGUUACCUUUCAGAAGUAGGAUGCAUUUGAUACUGUUGUCUGGAACUGACAGUAAUUUUAUAAUAAUCUUUAAGUGUAGCUCUUCUUUAGUGGGCAGAUAUGGUGAACUGGAACCAUAAUAUCUGAGUGAGUUGCUCAUGACUUUGUGUUUGAAAGCUGCAGCAUGGUUGUGGGUUGUGUGAGAGCUGUGCUUCCUUUCUCCUAAUUUGAGGCAGUGGCACUUCAGAGUUUGUUGCACAAUUUCUGGAGCUGUUUGUCUGGACAAUGUGUUGCUUGGGCAAUCCUAGGCUGCUGAUGCAGGGCCUUUUGCCAACUAAUUGCCCAACUCUUUUCCCUCCUGUACCUUGAUUCUUGCACUGCAGUCAGUUCUCCAGUACAAUUAUUUACACAUGCAAUAAUUUUGUUGGUUUUGGAAAAAUUGUUUGUAAAUAUCUUUUCUGCUUAACUUUUCUAAUGCCACCCACUUCCCCCUCUGGGCCCUCCAGUUUCAAUAUUUACAUUUGUUUUUUUGUGAUUGAAGAAGUUCUUAAGUAGCUUGAACUUAAAAUAGCUCUGUUGGGCAAAAAGUAAACAGAAUGUCUCCUUACAAGUCUUGUAGCUGUGCAGGUCCUAAAGAUGAGCAUCUAGAUCUUGUUAAUGGUGCCCAACCAGGUAUAAUUAAGGCAAGGUUGUGCUGGGCAUUGCAGGAUCAUGCAGCAAGAUAAUUUUAUUACCUUAAACUGGUCUUGUAAGGCUCUAGAAGAGAAUGGUGUUUGUUGUUGUAUUAAUGCUGGUAGUCUCUAUGGGUUCCAGGCUAGCAGAUGACCACCAGCUGGUCUCCUGUCUUUUUCCACAUUGUCUCUUCUCAAGGUUGAAUUUUUCAAUUGUACCUCAUACACUUCAAAAUUUACUGCUAAAUAAUCUGCUUCUGUGGUUCUCGUUGCAUUCUUUUUCAUUUUAUUGCUGUCCUCUCUUGACUCUUCCAUGCUACACAUAGUUGCAGCCUUCACUUUUUUCAGUCCAAGUCUUUCUCCUCUGCUCCACUGCAAUGACUUUGUUCUUUGGUUUUUGGAUCAAUAGUGUAUGAGAUGUUAGAUGUGCACUGCUGGUAUUGCAUGCUUUCUCUGUCAGCUAACUGAUCUGCCUACCAUGUUCAAUACAGAAAAAACACUGCUUUUGUAUUAAUAUUGUGAUAUUUUAUGAAUAAAAUAUUACUUGACUCCACUAAUCCCCACCCUGUCUGAAAACAUCAAAAUAAGUUUUCAUCUGUUUAUAGAGAUGCUGCAAAAAGAAUACAGGAUCAAUAGCUGGGCUGCUAUGAAGUACAAAAAUACAGAUGCCAUCUAAAGCUGUUGAGAAAAAUUAAGAUAUGAUUUUAGUGCAUGAUAAAAGUAUGGUGUGUGAUGUCUGUUCCAUUAUGUAGUGUUACAUGUGCACCAGCUUGUUCUGACAUGUAAAUAAGGCAGUUCUGGUUUCCUUGUGAAGCUUUAUAAAUCGUGCAGCAUACCUGCUGAUAUCUUCCAAAGGGAGGAGGAUGUUUGCAAUUUUUAUGAAUCCUCAUAUGUAAGGAUGAUGCAAAUAACAUGAGUGAAAAACAUCGCUAAGUACAUAUUAUGCUGAGUUCUUAUUCAUCUUGCUGGGAUAUGUUCAGAACUGCUUGUAGUUGUUUGGUUGGUUUUUUUUUUUAUUUCGAGCAAUGUCUUUGGUUUGCCUUUUAAGCCCUUUUUAGUCCUUGCUGAGUCAGUCUCACUCUGCAGUCGAAAAUGAUAUGUGUUUAACCUAGUUUUUAGUAUUAAGACUUAACACCAUAAGAAACGUAGCCAUAGUUCUAGCAGAGUUGUUCUGCUGUGGUUACGUUGCAGACUUUCUAUUCUGAAAUGCAUGCUGAGCUUACUGAAGUGCAGAAGUUACUCCAGAACAAAUUGCUUGUGGCACAACCUCUUCAUGAGUGAAGUGGAGUGUCAAGUUACCUUACUGGCCAUGAAAGCAUCUGCCUGUCUUCAGGUAGUAAACAAGCUGUAACUCAUUCUUUCAUCUGUGUAUUCCUUCCAGGGUCUUGAAGACAACUGGUGACUCUCUGGAAUAUGAUGGUUUAAACAUUUCUUGUGUUAGUUUCAAGCAAAUUGGUUAGAUAUAUAUAUAUUUCUGAAAAUUGUUGUUUGAUCUUGUGUCCUGGGAACCAGAUGUAUUAUGCCAAUGGAUUUUUUUUAUGCUUAUUUUGAGUAUUUAGGCUUCCAUUUUUCAUGCAUAAUACUUAACUAAGUGGGUACUUCAGAGGAGAAUAACAAAGAUAAUUGUUAGAGUUUGAUGUCUACCCUUACCUUUGUGCUUCAAGCAAAUCUUAAAAUUUAAUACUCACCCUAGGUCAUGGUUUAUCCUGAAAAUUCAAAACAACCAUCAGAUUUAACAGUGAUGAAAACUAGAAGAGAACUGGAACAUAACUUGAGAAAAUGCUUUGCUUCUAAAUGCUGCAUGUAAACAAAAUGGCAUUAAUUCAGUUCGAGUUACACACAACGUCAGAAAAGGCUUGUUACCAAUAAACUGUCAAUCUUAUGUCUGUUCAUUUGCAGGAAGCUUAAAUGGGAUGUGGGGGGGAAGUAGGAACAUUUAUGACUCACAUGGAUCGGGAGAUAAUCAAUCUAAACCUAUGUUUACAUUUAAAAUAACAUAAGGCUUUAAAAAUGUUUCAAACUGUUAAAUAUUUGUCAUAUUGCAGUUUGUAAAUUUUGUGUCUUCAUGAUUCACUGGGGAAAAUGAAUUCACUGGGAGUGAGAGAAUAGCUCAGGCUGAAGAAGGCCGGUUUCCAGCGCAUGAGAUUUCACAGCCCCUGGAUGUUGUGAAAAUGAAGCUGGAAAGCAUUUGGCGUUGCUUGCAGGCAGGUGUGCACUCCCUGUUGACUCCCUGUUGCCCAUGGAGUCUUGGCACUUCCCUUUGUGUGGAAUGUCUGAGCAGAAAGGAGAGAGUGCUCUCACAUCAAAAUAAGCUCUAUUUUGUUGGUCGACUGUGUUUGCAUCAGUAAAUAUUAUACGUCUGUUAAAAGAUGGGCUUCUAAUUUAAUGCCCAGAGUUAUUGAAUAGCAACUGUGGAAUAAUUUCCUCCUCUGAAAGUUGGGAGUGGGGAGGGAAGAUGAGAGAGACAAACAAAGGAGACAGCCUAGUUCUCAGAGACUGAAAGAGUUUUUAUGCCUUGUUGAGGGUGUGAGUUCAGUGAUAUUGUCAGCAGAGAGAGUAUUGCCUUUCAGUAACAAUGAGUAUGGCAGAUCUAAGAUAACCUUGUCUUGAACUAGUACAGCAAGACUCUCUGCCUUCCCCCUGGAACCCUGGCUAUUUUGAAUUUCAUACUGAUGGCCCAGUAAUCUAUAUGUGAUGUAUGAGAAGCGUGCAUACCAAGGUAAAGACAGUGGAGUCUGCAAAAGGGCUUAUGUAUGUAUGCAUAUGUCAUGUAUGUUACAUAUGUAUGUUUACAUACAUGUGUGGAUUUGUGUGGCAGGGUUUGGAAGCAGGGAGGCUGCAGGGAUGGCUUCUGUGAGAAGAUUCAGAAGCUGGCCUCAUGUCAGAUGGAGCCAGUUCCAGCAAGUUUCAAGAUGGAGUUGCCACUGGCUAAAUCUGCGUCCAUCAGCAAUGUUGGAGCACCUCUGUGAUAAUAUAUUUAAGAAGGGGAAAAAAGCCCUGCAUAGCAGCUGUGAGAGGAGCGAGAAAACUGUGAAAGAAACAGCCCUGCAGACGCCGAGGCCACUGGAGGAGGAGGGACGGCGGUGCUUCAGGCACCGGAGCACAAAUUCCCCUGCAGCCUGUGGUGAAGAGCAGGUUGAGGCAGGCCCAUGGCCCUCUUGGAGGCCCACGGGGGAGCAGAGAUCCACCUUCAGCCCAUGGAGGACCCACAGCAGGAGCAGAUGGAUGUCCCUAGGAGACUAUGCCCCUAUGGAGAAAGGAGCCCAUGCUGGAGCAGGCUGGAGGACACACUGGAGCAGUCUGUUCCUGAAAGACUCUGCUCUAUGGAAUGAUCCCAUGCUGGAGCCAGUCCUGAAGAACUGUAGACCGUGAGAAGAUUGCAUUCUGGAGAAGUCAGUGAAGGAGUGUAUCCCAGGGGUUGGAUCCUAUCCUGAAACAGGUGAAGGAAGGAGAAAUGGAAGAGGAGGAAGCAGCAGUGAAGAGACACUUCCCAUUUUCCCCAGACCCACUCAGUGAGGGAGGAAGUAGAAGAGUCUGGGGUGAAGUUGAUCCUGGGAAGAAAGUGGGGGGGAAAGUUUGUUUAGUUCUGUUUUUAUGUCUCACUAUCCUGCUGUUAUUAAUAGGCAAUAAGAUAAGUUAAUCUUCUUCAAGUUGAAUUUGUUUUGCCCAUCACAGUAGUGAUAUUUCUAUACUUUGGUCAACCUGAUAGGAUAUAUGACCCAGCCUUGUAACACUGUUGUAGCUCUUCCCUGAUCUCUGGCUCGGCAGUGUCCCUGGCUGCUGCCUUCACACAGGUCACCUGGCACACCCCAGCUUGGUGUCUUCUGAAAAGUGAUGUGUUCCAUCUCUUCUUCUAUAUGGAUGCAGAUGUUGAACAGGAUAGGUUCCAGGAUAGAUGCCUAAGGGAAUUCCCAUUACAGCGUGUCUCCGGUAGUGUUCAAACCACUACCCACUUCCCUUUGAGACCAGUGAUCGAGACAUCAAUAAUCGAGACAUCAAUAAUAGACCUAUCCCAGCGUGGAUGUGGGGAUGUUGUGGGAGACCACGCUGAAAACCCAACAAUCGAGAUGAACAACUUUUGCUGGUCUCUCAUCCAAGAUGAUGAAAAGGCAUAAUUAAAGAUCUUCAGUGUGUGUGAUUGGUGAGUGAGCAUUCAGCUUAUCACUCUCUUCAUCUAAAUUGUUUGUUUUCCCCCAACAUACGGUGUUUUCAAUACAGGGAGAUGAAAGACUAGUCUCUCUUAGCCUACAGACUCUCUGGCUGUAUCAACAGUCAUAUGUGCUUUGUUGCUCAGCCUGAAUAAACUUCAUGACAUGCUGUCUCUUUCAGAAUCGGCACAGCUGAACAAGUGAGUUGACACUUGUUCUUCCUGCCUCAGCAGUGUGGUGUUGUAUUUGGUUGCCCUUAAAGGCUCUGCUGGCUACAUACGUAUGACUUUGAAGUCAUCUGAGUUGCUGGUGUUAUCUAAAAGCGGUCAGGAAGCGAAGUUGUCCCUGCAGCCGGAGUUUGGCUUGCAGAACUUGGCUCCAACAGAAGAACCUGAGUUUGCUCUUGAUUCUGUCCAAGUCUGUAAGUCUAGUAAUGAGACACAUUGUUCAUAUUAAUAAUGUCUCCAGGACAGUGAUGGAUUCCCCAACACUAGACACUUUUAAGAUUGACCUGGACAGGGUACUGGGCCUUCUUGUCUAGAAUGUGCUUUUGCCAAGGAAGGCUGGACCAGAUGACCCUUGAGAUCCCUUCCAACCUGGUAUGCUAUGAUUCUAUGAUUUGUGGUAGAAAACAGAAUUAGGACAGCAAAAUAUGAUCCUCCAGUGACUUAGUGACUUUUCAGACUGUCAGAGUAUUUGGUAUUAAUGCUGAUAGUUUAAGUUCUAUUGGAUAUAUAAUUGAAGUAUUGCAAGUUUGUGGGAGUUCUCUGCUCUUGCGUUCACUUUCAUUGUGAAAUAAAAUUCUUCUGAGACAAAGGGACUGUUACCAAUUUUGUUGGCUUUAUAAAUGAAGGUUUUUGUUACUGUCUGCAAAGAACUGGUGGUACAGUCUUUGCUGGAGCCAUCAAAGUGGUUUCAUUUUUAUGUAGUUUAUUAUCCCUUUGACUAAAAUCUAUUCUGUGAAGUGGCUUGGUGUUGCAGUGACUCUUGGAUAUGGACUUUGAUGUAUUCAUACUACAAGGCCUUAGUGACAUUUUCUUCCCUGAAAUAAAAAAAAAUAAAUUAGAAGUUUCACUUAAAAAUUAAGUUGUUAUUUUAAAGAACUGAAGUGAUAGCAGUUCACCCAUUUGUGACUGGCCAAUUUGGAGUAUCAGGUCUGAUCUAUCUUGAGAGUCAGCCUCUAAGAAAAUAAAAGUUGUCAAGCGGAGCAAAACUUGUGUUGAGGUUUAAAUGCCCAGGUUAAAAGAACCAGCCACAAGGAAUACCCCAUCACCAGUUUAUGAGUUCUCCUGAAUCUCUGGGAGACACUACAGCAAUAGCAAAUUUUCCCUAUGUUUGUCUGGUGGUCUGAAUUAAACAUGCAAGCUCCUAUUGAGAUGUUGUUAAUACACAUGUGUAAUAGGCCAGCUGAUAAACUGAUACUAUUUUUUUUUUUUUACUUCUUUAUGCUGCUUGGGUUUAAUUUCCAUGAGAGAUUUUUGAUUCUGUUUUAUUUCCCCUUGCCAUGCAGAUGUCCAGAAUUCAUUUCAUGGCAUGGAGCAGGCAGGAUAACUGACCCUGAAAGCAAAGGUCAAAACUCAAACCUUCCUGCAAACCACUAAAAGCUGCAGCUUGCUCCAAAUGGAUUUUCAAAUCAAACCAUAUGUGGGGCAGCAUUCUGGCUAUUGCAAGUCUGUCUAUACUCUCUGGAAUGUAUGUACAUGUACCUUUGAUCAUGUGUUUUCAUUUGUAUUUUUGCCUUAAUAUUUCUGAGGGCUGUCAUUUAAACUACAUCCAGAGGAAGUGCUGGCACACAACACUCCCUCCAAGUAGGCAGCAAAAACUGCAGCAUGCAGGGAACCUGACCGGGAAGAAGCCUGACACUUGUGCAAAUUAGUGGUUCUUCUUUUCUCACUUCUUCAAAAACAUCACAUUUCCAGACUCUGAUGAAUACUGUGCUUUUCUGCAUACUGACUCUGGGGUCAGAGAUUCUGUUAAUAAUGAGAGAUUUUAUCUUCUCAGCCUCUUAGCUAACUCGAUUGGAUGAUCUGUUGGUUGACAUGAAAUAUUAACAAAUCAUUUUUGGCUAAAACCCAGUGUUUCUGCUCCUCAUAUUAACACUCAGAACUUCUAAGUUUAUUCAGUAAAAAACACCAGACAUGAGUCCAUGUUCAUCUUUUAGAAUGAGGAUAAACAGAACAUUGUGCUGCCAUGCCUAUUUCAGUACAAUAAGGUGUUCACUUGUCCUUCAGAUUUGAAUAUUUGUAAGAGAGCAAGAAGUUAAAUACUAUAGUAUGAUGAGAAUUUAUCUUGUCGUGUAAUUCCUUGGCAGCAGUGAGAAGAUUAGAGUGCUAAACUUCGUUAUAAUAAACCUAGCUCUGCCAUUGCUUUUAACUGAGCAGUAGCAUGGUGUGAGAGAGGUGUUUUCUAUUAACUUGAACUGCUGUUUAUUCUUUUUUAUAGUUGUUCUAAUGAAGUUUUUUGAAUAAGAACCACAUGGCUUUUCAUCUUGUAUAUUCUGUCUUUCUUGAAAGUAAAUGUAAUUUGUAGUGAUUGUCUUUAAUUGCAUAUACUUGUCUAAUUAUGUUUAAAAAUAAUUGUCUUCUUGGCUGUCCACUAAAUGAAAUACUUUUACUGGCAAACUUCCCUGGUCUUCCUCUGUUUUUAAAUCUGCUGAUUAUAAACCUGCAAUUUAAGAAGUUUUACUGAUUUUUCUGAAUCUCUGGAUUUUUGGGUCUCUUCAGAGAGGAGCAAAUUAUUGGAGUUGAUUCUUUGGAGAAGACUAUGACUUAGUGUAUGAAAGAACAAAGAGUGAAGAGUACUGAAGUCAGUUGGCCGUCUGAAUAAACAACUUCAAAAAGAGUUUCUUUGCAUUUUUAAAUCCAUCGAGCUUCUGAGGAAAAGACCACAUUAGAGCUUCGUCCUCAAGUUCCAAACUCCCUUUUUGGUCACUGCUUCUGUUUCACAUCUUUGAACUUUUUUUACUGGCUGUAACUGUCAGGGUGAUUAAUAAUAAAUAUGAUUUACAUGGAAGGUUUAGCACAUUAUGGGGUAAUUAAUAUAGGUAAUUAAUUCUAAUGCUAGCAUGCAUGUGGAAUUAAUUUUGUGCUAUGAAAAAUGCCACAAGUAGUAUAUGUUAUUGAAGUUUAAAAAAAGACAUAGAAAUAAUUGACUGUGAAUUAUGUGAGCAUUAACAGUGUGCAAGUUUAUGCUGGAGGAGAGGAGUGGUUCUAAGGAACUUUUUGUUUUACCCAGACAUAAAAGUAAAUCCAUGCAGCAUACAUGAUGUGUACUACUAAAGGAAUCUGCACCUUUUUGCUUUUACAGGUCAGCACUUGGUGGUGGGGAUUCUGUUCUGUGCACCCAGAAGUGACAAUCUUUAAGGCAUUAUGUAAGAUACCAGUUCCUAGAGCAGCUGUCCUAGGUUUUGCCUUCCAGCCACAGCACAGCUUCGUGGCCUCCUCCUUGCCUGGAUAGCAGUGUUAGGAAGCAGCUUUUGGCAUGCCAGGCUCAUGCCAGGCUCUGCUGUGUGGUCUUUUGUGUGAGGAGGGGGUUUGAGAGCACUGUUAGCUUGAAUUAGUAGUGAUGUUUAACUGAUGUAACUUCCCCCUGUAGCCAGUUCUUUACAAGGCAUUCAGCUGCCCUGACAUACCUCUUGGGUAGGAAUCAGGAGCAGAACCUGUGACUUGUCUGGCUGGGGGAGUGGGAGCCCUGCAGCCUUAAUUUUUGUCAUGUGCAACUACUUGUGUUGCUCGUGUGUCUGACUGGCCAUUACUGCUGGUCUGAGCUGUGUUUGUGCUGAAGCAAGGUUGCCAGUAGAGCCUUAUAGAUAAACUGCUUUAUUGUAGGCAGUCAUAAAUGUGUCCUAUUUAAAAACUAGUUUGAAAAAUUGGAAAUAGUUGAGUCAGGCACCAUACAUGUGAAUUGUAUAUGAAGGAUGUGUCUAUAUGGAAAAUUCUGUUUGUACAAUUGCAUCUGUUUAAAAACAGUCUGCUCCUGGAGCAUUCAAAUGCAGGUGUAUAAGAAAGCAAAGAUGUCAUUUGAAACUUUGGUACUGCAUUAGCAUAAGAAAGUGCAGAGUCUUUACUAAACUCUCUCGGGAGCUCUUCUGAUAGCACUUGCCUAUUUCUUCUUGUUCUUUUUAAUGUCAUCUUAUGCCAGUGUUCCAGGUUAUUUCUCAAAUACAGUUUAAAUUCAUGACCCAGAAUUUUCUCUAGCUCUCCAGAAAAAUGGCACCUCUAUCCCAUCAUGAUUUGUGCAGGAGGGCAAUGGGCAAGGGCAGCCUAAAGCAUAACAUUGUGUUGUGUUUGAUGUAUUGCCUCAAAGAGGUGGCUUCCACUUCAAUGCCUGUAGCUUAGCUUUAUCAAAUAAUACCUCUUCCUUUGAGAAUGCAGAACUGUAAAUUUUAUUUUGAGUGAAAUCAUGUAGGUUAAGGAAUCUCAGCAUAGGUGUUUGUUCUCCUUAUCCUAGCUACUUUGUGUUUCCACCACUUUGUGUUUGAAGGGCAUGUAAUAUUUCAAGUGGGUCAGGAGAGGGAGCUGGCAUUCUAGGGGUGAAAAAGAAUCUUCUUCACAUACAAGUAAAUAUUUUUUAAUUAUGCUUCUGCAUGUAUAAUUGUGAUGGGGCAACCUCUCUGUUCCUGAAAUAACAGGAGUCCAGACUGACUUCCAGAACAUAAAGUUGCAAGUAAGGAUUUUUUUUUUUUUACUGCUUUGUUCUGUGGCUGAUGGUUGCUUUUAUCUGUUGCCUGAGGAUCCCAUUUAGAAGUGCUGACAGUGCUUUUCUCUUGGGAAGAGGUCUGUGUUGCCAGUAGUACAUGUAGGUGACAGGGACAAUGAGCAGAACCUCAUCUGAGUCUAAUAAAAUAAAAAUGUCACUGCUGGUAAUAAUGUUGACAGUAGUAAUUGCACGCAUAGGGCACCCACCAUGGUAGUACCUGCCUGCCCUUCAUGUGACUUUUGGAGAGAUUAAAGGCUUUCCAAAGACAGCAUGCCCUUUAGAUGGGGGAUGGAAAUGUGAAAUUGCCCAGCAUAAGGGUGUCCCCGCUGCAGUGGGUUAACCUUAGCCAUCAGCCAGGCUCCUCCCCAGCCCCUCUGCAGGAUGGGGGUAGAAAAUAUGGAGAAGGAAUGAGAAUUAAAAGGCUUAUGGGUCAAGAUAAAGCUGAAUCUUUCCCUAACUGAAAUCCACUCCUUCACUCCUAACUUCUGUACCCCCACCACCAGUGGUCAGUGGGUCUGCUGUGGAGAUGACUGAAACCAGCUGUGCCCAGACUGGGACAGCCCUAUCUUGUCUGAAAAAAACCUAAGCAAGUGGUGAAAUUAUCCCUUCCAGAUAAUGUAGGUCUUGAGACAUGGUAGUUUCUUGCUCCUUUUUUCAGCAGCAAAACAGUCUUCUGAGCCUCUGGAUAUGCUACUAUAACCAGUUUUUGAAGGGCUGUACUGUAAAACUCAGCUAGCUAAAGUGCCUAUUUCAAAAACAACUGUGCAAAAUCAGCUUUCAGAAAAAGUUAGUAUUGUUCAGAUAAUUUUAUAAGUUUGGCUCACUUGUCCAGUUGAGGAAGAGACAGAAUGUGAUUGAGAGUUGGGGAAGGAAGUGACUGGAAGCAGGGAUGUGUGAAGUGGCAAAGGAAACCCUAUACUCUCCCUUCAAAUCUCACCUGACUUUCCUGGAUCUGCUUUAUGUUUGUGUUACUGUAUGUAGGAAUCUCUCCAACGAGAGGUUCCUGGCAUGGCUUUGGACUCUUUGGAGGUUGUUUGCAUCUAAGCUAAUUGCCUCUCUGCACUGUUGUCUGUAUAUUCUCUAUAAUGCUGUGCUGCCAAUUCAAUCUUUGAUUCAUCUUAAUGAGUUUGUACUUUAUGAAUAAUGAAAAAUCUUUUCUUUCCUCCUAUUGCCGAGCUUGAAAAUAGCAUAUUAUCCUUCCCCACCCUUAGUUCUUAGUAGUUCGGUUUUGUUUGCUUUCUUUAUUUGUUUUUACUGUUACUUUUUUGUUCUUGGGCCAUUUUUAAAUUUGUUUGGUUUACUUUUUAUUGACAAGUGACUGCCCUUACAUAAUAGGGAGAAAACGUAAGCCAGUGAAAGAGACUUUUCCAAUGUUACUCUAGCAUGGUAAAUGUACUGUGAUCUGACUAGAAGCCCAGUGCCAUUUGGGUUUAUGUAGAGACUUGGUACAUAUAAAAUAAAGUGAUCUAUUUAUUUGUCCUUGUUCAGGCUUCUUCUCCAGUGCACCCUGAUUCUUCUUGUCAGUAGCUGGUGGAGAGAUGAAAGUCUGGCUGCUGUUAAGAAAUGCUGCUGUGCAGCAAUGAUAAAAGUUCACAUGCGUCAUCACUUGCAUUUUCUUCUGGGCACAUUCAGCAAAGCUGCUUGUUUCUAUGCUGACAAGAAUUUCCAUCGAUUCCCUGAGACUGGGAACUCUCUGGCAGCCGAAAAUGUAGCCUACUUGAAAUGUGGGCCAUGCAGCUGUCGCUGUUGUUGUGCAAGGUGCUUUAUACCCAUCCCAAUUGGAGUCCCUGUAGGAUUUGCAGUGAGUCCUCAUUUAACAUAAGAAUUCUCUCUGAAUGUGAUUCAUGAUCCCAAGGAGGAUGAUAUGGGGGUUUAUUAGAGAAUGGCUUUAAUGAAACAGUGGACAAAACUCGCAUAACUGUUAGGUGGAACAGGGGCGACUGACAUGAGAAACUUUUGUUUUUUCCUUUCUCUCAGUGACUGCUCAUUGUCAGGGAGGUUCCAAGUCUGCAAGUGUAAUUCAGUCUUUGCGUUUCAUCAAGUGCCUGCCUCAUGCUAAUUCAGUUAUGCCUUAGGUUGCAGCUGUAGUUUUGUUUGUAAGCUGAACAUUUCAUGCCUACCCUCCCAGUGCUUGCCUGUGAGGUUUCAUGGUGCUCACACAAGUUCUCCUGAGUUCCAAGGAGCACUCCACCAGGAACCGGCAGUGCUUUAAUUGAUGUUUCAAAACAAAACAAAAAAACCCAAACAAAAACUCCCAAACCAAAAAGAAAACUCUACCAAAACAGAAAGCAAAGACAAAAAAAAAAAAACCUCAACAAAAAGAAAUGACAAAAAAAAGGCAACACAAGAUUUUGCAACUUUUCUUAUAUCGCUGUUCCCAAUUAUAGUAACUUCCAUACCAACAAAAUAGUAGCUCUAUAUAAUAGUAUAUGCUUACUGUUUGUUGCCAUGUAUUUCAUUUUGUGAGAUACGUUAUGCAGACCAUUUACAUCUGAUACUUCUGAACCAUCUGUCUAGCAAGGGAUGACUGUAACACAUUUUUAGUUUAUGGCUGGGGUUUUGUAGCUGUAUCUUCAGAAAAUAAGCACAAAUCAAAGGUCUGUAGAGAGAAUAUGAUUUAUUAAAUUCCAGAUGAUUAGAUCUACUAUGAAAACUUUACUGUACAAAAUAAUUUUCUUGUCUUUAUGUGGUACCAGAUUUUGAAAGGGGAAACAUGUCUUUUACCUACUGUUUUGUCUGGAAGGAGGGGAGAAGAAAAAGACGAUGAAAAUUGAAACUUUUUGCUUUUGAGACCACUAUCAUACCCAAGGAAAAAGCCUUCUAUUUUGGCUAUUCUACCCAUUUCACUCAGUGCAUGUUAAUUUAUCAGUCCACAAUCUGACCUGCUGGAUUGUCAGUCAGUGAUGAGGCAGAACAAAGAACAGGUAAUCCUUUACUGUUAGUAGAGGAAAGGAGUCAGUCGCUUUUAUGUCCCCCUGUAGUGCAACAUCUCAAAGAAAGUUUUGGGUCAGCAAUUUGCUGGCUGCAGCAGCUGUAUCAUUUCAGGGAUACAAUUUGCUGGGAAAGCUCAUUUAGUGAUUAGUUAAAUGUUACAAUCUCCUGUAAGCUGUGUAUGUAAUACUGCAUUUUAUGGUCUAGCUGUGCAGUGCAGAGCUAUUCUGCAUGUAACACAUGUUAAACAUUAACUACUGCUUGGGUACAGAAGGUGGAGUGUUCUCUCUCUGGUUUCUAUUGGAUGUGUGGCAGUGGAAGAUAAACAUAUAAUGGUAGCUAAUGCCAUAAAGCAGGCAACCAUGAGCAGAGUAGGGCAUCAAGUGCAUUUUUCCUACGUUUUGAAUUUUUCAUGUUCUGCUGUUUCUCUUUAUUGCUUUUGAGGGUUUUCUCCUCCCUCACUUAAGCAAGAUCUGUUUAAAUUUUGUUGAGCUUUGGUUUGGCUUCUUUUAACAAGUGCUGAUUUUAUGCCGUAUGAGAAAACAUCUUCUGGAUACUUUUUGUUCAGUUUAUAACAAUUAUUGUACGAGUAAAGAUGAUGACUUCUUAGCAAAGUACUGUUUAAAAAAAGCCAUUGUAGUCUCAUCUGCCUUUAAUAGAAUAUUGAACUUUGGUUAAUAAUGUCUAUUAUCUGCCUCUUGCCCCCCUCAAAAUAAUGAAACAGUAUCUUACAGUGACAGUUUAAUGUUGGUAUUAAGCUUUUAUGAAGCUUUAAUUCCACUCUUGAAAUUUGAUAUGAUUCAAUUUCUGUGCUUCUGUUUUGUUAGUUAAAAAACCCAAAAAAAAUAUAACCUAACUAAAAUUUGCUACCCAUUCCUGAGCUGACUUUCUUGGAAAAACAGAGGUGUAACUCGUCAUCUCAUCUGUUGCUGAAGAAAACUGAUUUUAGACAGUCUGGAACCCUGAACAGGAGUUCUGCAUGUUGUGAUUGAUUGUGCCCUUGUGCAGAAGAGCAAACUAAAGGAACUGAAUGCCUAACUGUGAAUUUUGCUACAUUUUGUGGUAAAGUGGAAAUGCCUAAGAUGUUAGUUUUAAAUAAAUAAAAAUUUAAAAAAAAAAGUCCUUAAAGUUGUAAGAGAACAGCAGUCACAAAAGUUGAUCCUGAUCAGUACUUCCCUGUAUAUAGUACAGCUUCAGUCAGAUUUAUGAUCAUCUCAUGUAUUUUUGGCCACGGGAUGAUUUUGCUCGAGAACUUGAAAUCUUUCUUCCCCAAGUAACUCAACAAGAUUUGCAUGAAAAAUUGCUCUGUUUUUGCCUUUUCCUUCAGCCCACCUAUAAUCAUCAAACUUUGGUUUUCUAGGGUUGAAGAUUGAGUAUCUAAACUCUUGCCUUAACCUCAGAAGAAGUACCCAGGCCAAUGCAGCCUACCUUUAAGAUCUGCUAAGUUUUCUACCCUUACCUGUAGGCCAUAGUUGGAGUUUUAGUUGUUAACUUUUAUUUCCAUGCCUGCAUGUUUCAGAUGGCAUGCCAAGUAAGAUUUACAGUUUUUUUGGCCCUUGUUUCUUCAUUUAAAGGCUGUAAAUAUUAUGACAAUUGGCAACAUAAAUGAAAUAUUAUCAAAUCCCAUUAAUUUUCUUCACAGUGCUCUUUGAGUGUUCAGGCUGUCCAGAAUUUAUUUUGCAGCUUCAGUGGUGGUGUGGCACUGCAUGACUGCAGUUGCUGUUGAUAGCCAGCAGAUUUCAGGCAGUGUGUGUUAAUCAAGCUUUUCCUGGAGAAUCUGACUUCCUGGGGUAUAAAAUGAUGGCUCUGUGACUUAGGACACUUGUAGGGCAUAACCCUUCCCUAUGUCUUGUACAUUUUUAAUUAUGAUGAACUUUGAAAGCUUGCUUUGAGAGUGAAAUCUGAUGCUGUUGGAAUAGUUGCAGACAAGAAUGGCAUGUCACUCUCUGUUUCCUGAGGAAAAUAAAAAGAAAUGGUAAUGCAAUUCUUCCAAAUAAAUAGAAUUGCUCUUUUGAUAUUAUUUUCCUUUGUGUAUCUCUUCUCACAAAUUUGAACUUGAAAAGAAAAACACCCAAACAAACCCACACUGACCAGUUUUUAAAAAAGCAUUUUCUUUU
Molecule: long non-coding RNA, 21086 nt
Organism: Motacilla alba alba
Lineage: Eukaryota; Metazoa; Chordata; Aves; Passeriformes; Motacillidae
Exons: 3
Source: RefSeq, a predicted model, not a curated record